This 875-nucleotide ribosomal RNA is filed under the name Bacillus sp. (in: firmicutes). Its description in RNAcentral is "bacterial SSU rRNA". It matches the Rfam family "Bacterial small subunit ribosomal RNA", at positions 64 to 917 of the family's 1533-position model. Lineage: Bacteria; Bacillati; Bacillota; Bacilli; Caryophanales; Bacillaceae. The record is from RNAcentral.
GGGCAGAUGCGGUAACUUGCUCCCUGAUGUUAGCGGCGGACGGGUGAGUAACACGUGGGUAACCUGCCUGUAAGACUGGGAUAACUCCGGGAAACCGGGGCUAAUACCGGAUGCUUGUUUGAACCGCAUGGUUCAAACAUAAAAGGUGGCUUCGGCUACCACUUACAGAUGGACCCGCGGCGCAUUAGCUAGUUGGUGAGGUAAUGGCUCACCAAGGCAACGAUGCGUAGCCGACCUGAGAGGGUGAUCGGCCACACUGGGACUGAGACACGGCCCAGACUCCUACGGGAGGCAGCAGUAGGGAAUCUUCCGCAAUGGACGAAAGUCUGACGGAGCAACGCCGCGUGAGUGAUGAAGGUUUUCGGAUCGUAAAGCUCUGUUGUUAGGGAAGAACAAGUACCGUUCGAAUAGGGCGGUACCUUGACGGUACCUAACCAGAAAGCCACGGCUAACUACGUGCCAGCAGCCGCGGUAAUACGUAGGUGGCAAGCGUUGUCCGGAAUUAUUGGGCGUAAAGGGCUCGCAGGCGGUUUCUUAAGUCUGAUGUGAAAGCCCCCGGCUCAACCGGGGAGGGUCAUUGGAAACUGGGGAACUUGAGUGCAAAAAAGGAGAGUGAAAUUCCACGUGUAGCGGUGAAAUGCGUAAAGAUGUGGAGGAACACCGGUGCCAAAGGCGAUUCUCUGGUCUGUAACUGACCCUGAGGAUCAAAUGCGUGGGGAGCAAACAGGAUUAGAUACCCUGUUAGUCCACGCCGUAAACGAUGAGUGCUAAGUGUUAGGGAGGUUUCCGCCCCUUAUUGCUGCAGCUAACGCACUAAGUACUACCGGCCUGGUGCAGUACUGGAGCCAGAGUUAUACUCAUAAGGAAUUAAGAGA